Molecule: ribosomal RNA, 222 nt
Filed under: uncultured bacterium
Lineage: Bacteria
Description: partial 16S ribosomal RNA
Rfam family: Bacterial small subunit ribosomal RNA
Source: RNAcentral
CGACGUAAAGAACUUGCCUCACAGCUAGGGACAACAUUUAGAAAAGAAUGCUAAUACCUGAUAUUAUGAUUUUAAGGCAUCUUAGAAUUAUGAAAGCUAUAAGCACUGUGAGAGAGCUUUGCGUCCCAUUAGCUAGUUGGAGAGGUAACAGCUCACCAAGGCGAUGAUGGGUAGCCGGCCUGAGAGGGUGAACGGCCACAAGGGGACUGAGACACGGCCCUU